CUUAGAGGUAAACGAGUGGAGCCGAAAAUGUUGUAUAGAAUUCAGUUGAUGGUAUUUUGUACGUAAGUGGACAAUAUUUCUCUUUUGGAAAUUGUCUAUUUAUUUUAUGAAGUAUAAUUGAUGCAUUUUCUAUACAACAAUACUGCGACCAAUAGAGCUGUUUUUCUGUCAUAAUAAUGAAGGUGAUCAAUUUUUCGGAAUUGGUUUUAUAGCUUAUUAUAUGGUUAAACAUGUGUAUUGGUGAAUGCGAUUGGCUAAUUUUAAUGAUUUGACAUUUGGAUCAGUUAUUGAUAGACUAAAAAUAGACUGUUUUUAAAUGAUUCUAGUGUUUGAUUAUUGAAGGGUCAUAUCUAAAGUCUGCAGUUAUCAAUGUAGGUUACCUACUUGUCCCGUCUUGAAACACGGACCAAGGAGUUUUAUAUGAUCGCGAGUCAAAGGGCUUUACGAAACCCCAGGGCGUAAUUAAUGUAAAGGUUUGCUUUAUGUAAACUGUGAUGUGACCUUGCGAUAUUGCGAUAAAGCUUGAGCAACAUCGACCCGUCUAAAGAUGUUCGCAUCUGGGCGGAGUUUGAGCGAUCAUGUAGAGACCCGAAAGAUGGUGAACUAUGCUUGUGCAGGUUGAAGUCAGGGGAAACUCUGAUGGAAGACCGUAGCGGUUCUGACGUGCAAAUCGAUCGUUGGACAUGAGUAUAGGGGCGAAAGACUAAUCGAACCAUCUAGUAGCUGGUUCCCUCCGAAGUUUCCCUCAGGAUAGCUGGCGUUUGAUGUCGUAGUUUUACCUGGUAAAGCGAAUGAUUAGAAGUAUUGGGGAUGAAAUGUCCUCAACUUAUUCUCAAACUUUAAAUGGGUUCGAAGUGCAUCUCGCUUCAUUGGAGAUGUACAUUGAAUACGAAUGCCUAGUGGGCCAUUUUUGGUAAGCAGAACUGGCGAUGUGGGAUGAACCAAACAUUUGGUUAAGGUGCCUAACAUCACGCUCAUGAGAAACCACAAAAGGUGUUGGUUGAUAAAGACAGCAGGACGGUGGACAUGGAAGUUGUCAUCCGCUAAGGAGUGUGUAACAACUCACCUGCCGAAUCAACCAGCCCUGAAA
Molecule: ribosomal RNA, 1090 nt
Filed under: Diversibipalium mayottensis
Lineage: Eukaryota; Metazoa; Platyhelminthes; Tricladida; Geoplanidae
Description: partial large subunit ribosomal RNA
Rfam family: Eukaryotic large subunit ribosomal RNA
Source: RNAcentral